UAACAUUUGAAAUGAAAAUAAAAAAGUUA
This 29-nucleotide non-coding RNA is filed under the name Rattus norvegicus (Norway rat). Lineage: Eukaryota; Metazoa; Chordata; Mammalia; Rodentia; Muridae. The record is from RNAcentral.